CCUACGGGCGGCUGCAGUGGGGGAUAUUGCGCAAUGGGGGAAACCCUGACGCAGCAACGCCGCGUGAAGGAAGAAGGCCUUCGGGUUGUAAACUUUUGUCUUUGGGGACGAUAAUGACGGUACCCGAGGAGGAAGCCACGGCUAACUACGUGCCAGCAGCCGCGGUAAUACGUAGGUGGCGAGCGUUGUCCGGAUUUACUGGGUGUAAAGGGCGUGUAGGCGGGAUAGCAAGUCAGAUGUGAAAUACCAAGGCUUAACUUUGGGGGUGCAUUUGAAACUGUUAUUCUUGAGUGUCGGAGAGGGAAGCGGAAUUCCUAGUGUAGCGGUGAAAUGCGUAGAUAUUAGGAGGAACACCAGUGGCGAAGGCGGCUUUCUGGACGAUAACUGACGCUGAGGCGCGAAAGCGUGGGGAGCGAACAGGAUUAGAUACCCCUGUAGUC
This 440-nucleotide ribosomal RNA is filed under the name uncultured Eubacteriales bacterium. RNAcentral's name for it is "bacterial SSU rRNA". It matches the Rfam family "Bacterial small subunit ribosomal RNA", at positions 338 to 795 of the family's 1533-position model. The record is from RNAcentral. Lineage: Bacteria; Bacillati; Bacillota; Clostridia; Eubacteriales.